This is a small nuclear RNA of Octopus sinensis (East Asian common octopus), 107 nucleotides long. The record is from RefSeq and is a predicted model, not a curated record. NCBI's taxonomy places the organism in Eukaryota, Metazoa, Mollusca, Cephalopoda, Octopoda, Octopodidae.
UUAAAAAUGGUCUUUUCGAUAUAUUAAAGAGUGGAACGAUACAGAAAAGAUUAGCAUGGCCUCUACGCAAGGAUGACACGCUCAUAAAUGUGAGUGUGUUUAUAUAC